GAUCGAUCGACCCCAGCGAUAAGUCGGCGUCAUUCAGAACAGAAACAGCAAACAAAAAGUUUCAAAUUCACGUUGAGUCAUCGAGUGGGGGAAAAUACAUCCAAAAAUAAUACUAACAGACGAUAUUAAUAAAGUUCUAAGGAAUUACGGUAAUUUGUAUAUAUUUUUGUAUUAUAUAAUUUUAGCACAACUCAAUUGUCAAAUGUUUCCCAAGUGUUGGAAAGGCAAUUAUAAAGACAUAAAGCGAAAUUAUGUCAAAUUGCUCCAGUUGAUAAUGAAGAUGAGAAGAACUGUGGGAUUUGACCUUUGUGCGCGGCCUGAUGGCUAAUGGCAAAAUUCUAUUGACUGACGUGUUGGCGGCUGUCUGUGUGUGUGUGUGUGUGUGUGUGUGUGAGUGGGUAGCCGCCAUGGCUUAAUUGACUUAGCUGCGACGCAAAUGCAAAAGAUGUUGCAAAAAUAGCUAAAAACCAUUCGCCUCAGCCCAACUACAAGCCACGCCCACACAUCCUGCUGUCCACCAAGAAUGGACAGUAACAACAUCAAAGCAAACAAUCGAUGGUUCAGGCAGAGGCACGAGUUGGUUCACUGAUGGGGGUUUGCCCCCAUUUCUAUUUAUAUAGAGGGGCGAAUCCAAAGCCCGGCCACGAGUUGGCUCUUGCAUUGAUAUACAGCAAGAGGCAAAUAAACAAUGCAAAUG
Long non-coding RNA from Drosophila navojoa, 697 nucleotides. The record is from RefSeq and is a predicted model, not a curated record. Lineage: Eukaryota; Metazoa; Arthropoda; Insecta; Diptera; Drosophilidae.